GGCCUUAGCGCGGUGGUCCCACCUGACCCCAUGCCGAACUCAGAAGUGAAACGCCGUAGCGCCGAUGGUAGUGUGGGGUCUCCCCAUGCGAGAGUAGGGAACU
Molecule: ribosomal RNA, 103 nt
Filed under: Escherichia coli O157:H7 str. K2191
Lineage: Bacteria; Pseudomonadati; Pseudomonadota; Gammaproteobacteria; Enterobacterales; Enterobacteriaceae
Source: RNAcentral